AACGCGAAGAACCUUACCAGCCCUUGACAUGUCCAGGACCGGUCGCAGAGAUGUGACCUUCUCUUCGGAGCCUGGAGCACAGGUGCUGCAUGGCUGUCGUCAGCUCGUGUCGUGAGAUGUUGGGUUAAGUCCCGCAACGAGCGCAACCCCCGUCCUUAGUUGCUACCAUUUAGUUGAGCACUCUAAGGAGACUGCCGGUGAUAAGCCGCGAGGAAGGUGGGGAUGACGUCAAGUCCUCAUGGCCCUUACGGGCUGGGCUACACACGUGCUACAAUGGCGGUGACAAUGGGACGCUAAGGGGCAACCCUUCGCAAAUCUCAAAAAGCCGUCUCAGUUCGGAUUGGGCUCUGCAACUCGAGCCCAUGAAGUUGGAAUCGCUAGUAAUCGUGGAUCAGCACGCCACGGUGAAUACGUUCCCGGGCCUUGUACACACCG
Molecule: ribosomal RNA, 435 nt
Filed under: uncultured bacterium
Lineage: Bacteria
Description: bacterial SSU rRNA
Rfam family: Bacterial small subunit ribosomal RNA
Source: RNAcentral